GAUGAACGCUGGCGGCGUGCCUAACACAUGCAAGUCGAACGAAGCGUCCCAGAGGAAGUUUUCGGAUGGAAUCCGGGAUGACUGAGUGGCGGACGGGUGAGUAACGCGUGGGUAACCUGCCCUGUACUGGGGGACAACAGUUAGAAAUGACUGCUAAUACCGCAUAAGCGCACAGGACCGCAUGGUCCGGUGUGAAAAACUCCGGGGGUACAGGAUGGACCCGCGUCUGAUUAGGUAGUUGGCGGGGUAACGGCCUGCCAAGCCGACGAUCAGUAGCCGACCUGAGAGGGUGACCGGCCACAUUGGGACUGAGACACGGCCCAA
This 324-nucleotide ribosomal RNA is filed under the name uncultured bacterium. Its description in RNAcentral is "bacterial SSU rRNA". It matches the Rfam family "Bacterial small subunit ribosomal RNA", at positions 28 to 334 of the family's 1533-position model. The record is from RNAcentral.